GAUAAGAACGUAGCGAAAUGCGAUACGUAAUGUGAAUUGCAGAAUUCAGUGAAUCAUCGAAUCUUUGAACGCAUAUUGCGCUCUCUGGUAUUCCGGAGAGCAUGCUUGUUUGAGUAUCAGUAAACACCUCAACUCCCUUUUCUUUUUUGAAAUUGGAGCUGGACUUGAGUGAUCCCAACGCUUUCUUCCAAGAAAGUGGCGGGUUGCUUGAAAUGCAGGUGCAGCUGAACUUUUCUCUGAGCUAUAAGCAUAUCUAUUUAGUCUGCCUAAAAAACAGAUUAUUACCUUUGCUGCAGCUAACAUAAAGGAGACUAGUUCUUGUGCUGACUGAUGCAGGAUUCACAGAGACAGCUUCGGCUGACUUUGUAAACUCGAUCUCAAAUCAAGUAAGACUACCCGCUGAACUUAAGCAUAUCAUAAGCGGAGGA
RNAcentral lists this unclassified non-coding RNA (428 nucleotides) under soil metagenome. Its description in RNAcentral is "partial contains 5.8S ribosomal RNA, internal transcribed spacer 2, and large subunit ribosomal RNA". The stretch from base 4 to 119 matches the Rfam family "5.8S ribosomal RNA", at positions 39 to 154 of the family's 154-position model. The record is from RNAcentral.